AGGUCACAGGCAGACAGACAAAAACACACACAGUCUGCCCAUUAGUCCUGCACAAAAUGGCCACUGGACACAAUUCAUCAGCCACGGUGACCACGGAGGACAAGGAAGGACGGUCUUUCCAACUGUCUUCUCUACCCAACAAACCCUCUGGUGUAAGCGUUCAGCGCUGGGGACUGAACCUGAGUAUCACUCAAGUCAGGUGAUUCUGUUUCCUCUCAAACUGACAAUCAAUAUUAGCCCUCAUAAUGAAUGAUAAAAGAAAUGAUAAUGAUGCUGCUGGGCCUCGAAUUAAUGUUGAGAAAACAGAGAAGAUGAAGUUACGCCAGGUCCUAGAUUUCAAGGAUCUCACACUUUGCUACAGAAGACAGGAAAUAAACACACAGUUAUAAUUGUACACUGUAAAUACAAAGGGAGAGAACAGGAGUGUACUGUGCACUACAAAGAAUGGAGAAGCUUGGACAACUUUCAGAGAACAAGAGGGUGGUGGACCCUCAACAAUGGCACGUAGCCCUGAUGUGAAGAUGCCGCCCACAUUUUCCCAGGAAGCAUUGCUCUGAGGGAGCUCAACUGCAGAGGACUCCUCAAAAACAGUCGUAUACAGGCAGCUUUGCCCUGGACUUCUGCUUCUUCCGUGUUGGUGUCACUUCACUUCACUUUGAGUGGAUUACCAAUCCUACCUCUAGGGAUGUAGGUUCCCAGGUCCUUCCCCUAUGGUCUGGCAUCAUCAUCAUGCCAGCUUGGGAAGAAGACUGUGUACCCCUAAGACGUGCAGCCUUUCUUAGGAGCUAUUCUGAGUAUGUAUCGCCACAAAGCCUGCAAUCUACAUUCCAUUUCAUAACCAUAGACUCUGCUUCAGAAAAAAGAUAAACCUCUUCUAAGCAGAGUCAUUCAGAAGAAGUUUAUUGGAAGAUAUCACGGUGGCCCUGAUCUGAUACUGGGUAUCCUGAGUUCUAGAGUGGGUACAUGGAGCAGGUCCAGGGGUUGCCAGAAUUACCCAGACAGACGAAUCCACUCUUUGAAGCCAGUGCUGUCCUGUUCCACACAAGGAGAAACUCAUGCCAAUCCCUGCCCUGGCUCCACCCACUCCUGUUGAGCCUCAGCGCCUAGCAGCUGUCUGAGUGGGAAGACUAAGAUACUGUAAAACACAAAUUUUUCCAAACUUUAGAAGAUACUCCAAGGAAAAGACACAAAAGGCUAAAGUUUCAAGAGCAAAAGACCACUUCCUCUGACUCCUCUCUUAUUCAAGAGCUCUGUGCAGAGACAAGAGCACUGUGAAUUCCUGCUUUUCUCCCUUGCAGCUGAACUUGAAGAUGCGUGUGUUUGUGCAUAUAUAUGUUCCUGCAUGUAGGGGCCAGAGGUCAGUAUUGGGAAUAUUCCUCCAUUGCUUUCUACCUUCUUGUUUUUUGAGAAAGGGUCUCUAAAUGAACGUGGAGCUCAUGAACUCAUCAAGACCAGUAGGCCAAUGAGCUCCAGGGAUCUUAUGUCUCUGCCUCCCCAGAGCAAAGACUACAUGAGCAUAUCACCACACCGGCUUUUUCAUGUGGGUCUCAACCAUCCAAACACAGAUCUUCAUGAGUGAAUAAGAGCAUUUUACUGACAGAGCCAUCUUCCCAGAUCCUCAGAGUUUUGAAAAGGUCUUCCUACAAUGAAGUCUAACAUACAUGAGUUGGACAGCAAUUGACAUAAGAAUGUGACUUUUGGAAAAUAAAUUUUGACAUUUAAGAGGACACAAAUCUGUCCUAUUGAUGAGGUACAUACUCUGCUACAUUGCCAUCUAUGUUAAUAUGAUUUUUAUCUAUAUUCAACAGCAAUCUCAAACGACAAGCAUGACAUGGCGUAGCGGCAAUGGGCAUCCAAAGUAUAGAUCUCACUUUAUUUUUACCUUCACCUGACACACUUCGGCCAGGUAUUGACCACGGAGAAGCAUUCUUCUGGCCGUAAAUCCGAUCAAUAGCUCACUCAUGCAGAACAUACAAUGUACAUUUUCUGCUUAUAAAAAGCCAUGGAUAAUGAGCACCGAUUAUAGCUCAGAGAGACCAAAGACGUGAGUGCAUGUGCUGUUCCUUCUCAGAGGACUAACCUGAAAAUGAUCUUUGCCUUGCCUACAAAUGAAAUAUUUAAAACAUUGUUUUGAUGGCCCAAGGUAUGCCUGACAUAUUUGUCGAUUUUCGCAGAUGCGAGGAGUGAUUAGAUUUGGGGGUCAGUUACGAUAAGGUCAUCCAGAGACCACGCAUUUUAAUUUCAAAUUCAGGAUGACAAACCUGAUAAGCAAAACUUUAUAAAAUAAAAGGAUAUGAAAUCAACUUACAUGACUAGUUGGUAUGGGGAGAACUUUUGUAUUAGGUCCUGUCAUCUAAAGGGGACCUGGUGUUACAAGAGAGAAUUUCCCUGACAAGUCACCUUGAUGUGCUAAGGCGCAGACAAUGCACUGGGGUGAAGGACUUCUGUCCACGGUGGCCUGGAUUCUCUGUGUGGAGAAAAACUGUGUUGAGGUGUUUAUUGGUAAAGAAUACAUUCACGGGGCUGGAGAGGUGGCUCAGUGAGUCAAGAUCUUGUCACCCAAACGUGAGGACCUUCAUUUUGAAUCCACAGAACCCAUGGAAAGCCAGGCAUGUUAGUGAGCAUCUAUAAUUGCAGCACUCCUAUGAUGAGAUGGGAGGUGGAGACAUGAGAAUCCUCAGAAGCGUGGGGCCAGCUAGCCUGGUGUAUGCAGCCACAAACACCAGAAGCUCAAGCUGGGUGGAAGGUGAGGACCAACACCCAAGGUUGUCCUGUGGCCUCUGUGUGACCCAGUAGCCUGCAAGUGCCCCCACCACAAGCAAAAACACCUCCCCUACUCCUCCCCCCCUCUCUCCGCGCCUCUCUCCCUGGCACGCUAGAGGUUUCUCAAUUGUCUAGAAACAUCCUGGCCAUGAAAGUGGGAGAUAGCAUGGCAAGCAGCUAGCAGUGAAAACCCCAAAGGGUUAAACUGUAAAGACAGUGAGAUGGCCUAGAAGUGCUUAAAACUCAAUUAAAAUAAAACCAGUCCCUGUUAGUUCUCCCCAGCCAGAUUUAAGGUUCCUUCUGUAUUAUCUAUUCAUAUGAAAGCGGGUGCAGCAAUUGAAUAUUGAAUUAUGCUAACCCACUUUCUCAGCUAUAGAAGACACUGGCUUCCAGCCCAAUGAAUACAAUAGCCACAUGCUUGAGACCUUUAAUUAUCUAAUUAAUGUAGUGUCAUUUUUGCAAUUAAUUCAAAUGGCCACAUAUAACUUUUUUCUUUUUAAGAUUGGAGUUGUAAAUAUUUUUAAAACACUUGUUAUAUGUUGCAUGAAAAACAAAACAAAAAAAAGGACCAAUAAAGCUCUUAAUUAAGAAACGUUUUUUAAAAUCCUCAAACCUAUUCUAACACGGUCAAAGGCUGUUUCUCAUGACCUGUUCAUAGAUACCCUUUAGAAACUUAUUAAAUUGAACUUAAGAAAACGAAUUACCAUCUGCAUGGGCAGGUACGAGAGAAAGGAAUUACAAGGAGUGUUUGAAGGAGGAGGGGCAAGGAGAUGUAGUAAUACACAUUAGGAAUCCACUCUAAUGAGGGCUAUCAUAAACGGCAAUAAAAGUGGAUAAUAAUUCUAAAAGUUCUCACACAAGACCAGUCACUUUCUUCCCCUCCCCCACCACUUCACUCUUCAUGCAGCUGGAUUUGAACGUGAAAUCCUUCACUCUUGCUGCCUCUUUCUGCAAAGCUGAGCGUUACCAGCACUUGAGCAUUCGGCUGAAAAAGGCAAUGUGGUAGAAAAGCAUGCUCAGGCUAAAGAAAUCAGUUCUGUGCCAUUUGCUCAGUCCUUCCAUGUGUUCACAAUGGGAGUAGCGGUGGUGGGUGGGGCGUG
Long non-coding RNA from Peromyscus californicus insignis, 3863 nucleotides. RefSeq lists it as uncharacterized. The transcript has 3 exons. The record is from RefSeq and is a predicted model, not a curated record. Lineage: Eukaryota; Metazoa; Chordata; Mammalia; Rodentia; Cricetidae.